CUGCACAAGAAGCACAUGUGGCAUUGUUUUAAAAAUGAAUUCUAACCACCUUACAUCCUCAUCCUUUGGGAGUCCAUGCAAAGUGGUUUUGCUUUUGCAGCACAGAAAACAUCUUAUAGACAUGAACCUAACUCUUUCAGAAUGGAACUACUGUACAACUGUAGUGUUUGAGGGUGGGUCAAAGUACACGUUGUUCCCAAGCAGACAAUGAAGACCAGAGAGAGCUGCCUGACAAAGAUAAAGGAAUAAGCGCUCCACUUACUAUUGACAGUGCUUGAAUCAAUAUCAACAGGGAAUACCAAAGAAUGUGAAGAACCAUUUUCUUCUCAUAUUGAAGCUUUCUCCUCAUCUCCACAUCAAAAAAAAACUUUCAUCCAGGUCUUCACAGGCUACAUUCACACUGCAUGCUCUCUCACCAUGUUCCUUUAUGUCAUUUCUAAAUGAAUGUCGUUUUGUCUGUGUGUGAGUAACUGUUUAUUGUAUUAACAUUUCAGGAAUAUUAUUGCUGAGCAGUAGAGUUCUGCAAAAUAAAAAUCUUUUCCACUUCAA
Molecule: long non-coding RNA, 549 nt
Organism: Ictalurus punctatus (channel catfish)
Lineage: Eukaryota; Metazoa; Chordata; Actinopteri; Siluriformes; Ictaluridae
Exons: 3
Source: RefSeq, a predicted model, not a curated record